CUCACUGGCUCAGGAGUGAAGCUGCAGACUUUCGCUUUCAGAUACGUCUUUAUAGAAGUGUGAGAAUGGACUAAUACAAGAAAUUGGUACCAGAAAAGUGGGACAUUCCUAUGAAGAUACCUGAAAAUGUGGAAGCUGCUUUAAAAUUGGGUAAGGAGCAGAGGCUGGAACAGUUUGGAGGGCUCAGAAGAAGGCAGAAAAAUGAGGAUGAGGAAACUAAGGCUUGAAGAUGUUAAGUGAUGAUUCCCAGAUCACACAGCUAUUUUGAGGCAGAGUCAAGAUUGGUACCAGAUCAUAUCAACAGUGAAAUACAGAAAAUCUUGAUAAGUGUCUACUUUGAUUUUUAUUUUUAUAGAUUCUGCCUAUUAAGUCAACUGUAUUUUUAUGCAAUAACUGGUUUUCAUAUUUGUAUUAAAUACUUGCAUCCACUCAGAGCUUCUGAUCAGAUUGAGACAGCCUUAUUGCUGGCUGCCAUUCCAACCAAAGUGACUACACUCAGGACAAGGUGUGAUUUAUUUCAAAGUUUAAAUCACUGGAUAUAGAUCAGCAAUAUAGUAUAUUAUCAUCAAUAUUAGAUUGAUUUAAUUUUUUAAUGAUGAUAUGAAACAGCAGCCAUCUCUCAGAAUCCUAAUAGUGUCUAUUUAAUGAGCACUUAUUAUACACUUGCUACUUUUCUGAGUGCUUUGCAUGACUUUGUAAUUUAAUCUUCAUACCAACCUAUAACAUAGGUACCAUAAGUAUACCCACUUCAUAGGUUAGGAUACUAAGACACAGAGGGAGUCUACAAUGUGUCCGAAGUCAAGAAGCCAGGACAUGACAGGAUAUUAAACCCACACAGCCAUGUCACAAGCCAGAGAUUUUCAUUAAAAAUAAUGUUACAGUGGGGACUUUAAUUCCUUCCUAAAAUUGAGAAUUCUAUCCUAUUGUGUCCCAUAUACUCCAGGAGGGGAAAUUAUAAUUGCCAGAGUUAUAACUAUGCAACAGCUAUGACCUAUUUCACCCUUAGCAGGGCUCCUACAAACUGAGCUGAUGUAAAUUACAGCAGAGGGCCCUUGGUGGCAGAAUCUUUGGUGGUCACUGGCCCAUGGCAUACCCAUGCUGGGGACACAAAGGCUGUGGUCUGAUCUCACUCAGAGACAUAUGCUUUCCUAAGAUAUGACAACUCCAUAAUUAGAAGAACUGCCUGAUCCCUUAACUCCAGUGACAUCCCCUGUCAAAUGAUGCCCUAAUCAGGGACAUGGGAGUGAUCAAGGUGGAAGUAAAGUGAACUAGAAGAUUGAGCGACUAUGUGCUGUGAUCCAUGCCCUUUUCUUGAUGAUCUAGUGUAAAUUUCAAAAUGGCCACCACCAGCCUCCUCUGCAUGCUCUGCCAAGAUCAGAAGUCUUAUAUUUUCCAAAUUAUGUACCAGACAGAAGCCAUUCAAGGUUAAAGGUCUGCAAUGCUAUGGAAUGAAUUAACAAGAGCCCAUUUACUGUUUCUGCUUCCAGUCUGAAAGGAAAUUUCUGGAAUCUGCAAAAGAUUUGGAAAAGUUAAGAAAUGGUAAGAUCAAGCCUCUAAGUGCCUCUGAGGAGGGUAUCUAGUAGAAGAUACACAGGGAGGUUUGAACAGCCAAGCAAUGCUUUGUGUAUGUAAGGUUGUAGUUGUUGAUGGUGGAGAAGGAGAAAAUCGAUAAAAUGGAAAGGGUGGGCUCUUAGAGCCGGUCUGGCAACUCUUUCCAGGCUAAAAAGGGCCAGACUUCUCUUUG
Molecule: long non-coding RNA, 1744 nt
Filed under: Homo sapiens (human)
Lineage: Eukaryota; Metazoa; Chordata; Mammalia; Primates; Hominidae
Description: HSALNT0334663
Source: RNAcentral